Molecule: ribosomal RNA, 423 nt
Filed under: uncultured bacterium
Lineage: Bacteria
Description: bacterial SSU rRNA
Rfam family: Bacterial small subunit ribosomal RNA
Source: RNAcentral
AAACUCCUACGGGAGGCAGCAGUGAGGAAUAUUGGUCAAUGGACGAGAGUCUGAACCAGCCAAGUAGCGUGAAGGAUGACUGCCCUAUGGGUUGUAAACUUCUUUUAUAUGGGAAUAAAAUGUUCCACGUGUGGGAUUUUGUAUGUACCAUAUGAAUAAGGAUCGGCUAACUCCGUGCCAGCAGCCGCGGUAAUACGGAGGAUCCGAGCGUUAUCCGGAUUUAUUGGGUUUAAAGGGAGCGUAGGUGGAUUGUUAAGUCAGUUGUGAAAGUUUGCGGCUCAACCGUAAAAUUGCAGUUGAAACUGGCAGUCUUGAGUACAGUAGAGGUGGGCGGAAUUCGUGGUGUAGCGGUGAAAUGCUUAGAUAUCACGAAGAACUCCGAUUGCGAAGGCAGCUCACUGGACUGCAACUGACACUGAGGCU